This 1356-nucleotide ribosomal RNA is filed under the name Escherichia coli. Its description in RNAcentral is "partial 23S ribosomal RNA". It matches the Rfam family "Bacterial large subunit ribosomal RNA", at positions 419 to 1774 of the family's 2925-position model. Lineage: Bacteria; Pseudomonadati; Pseudomonadota; Gammaproteobacteria; Enterobacterales; Enterobacteriaceae. The record is from RNAcentral.
GGGACACGUGGUAUCCUGUCUGAAUAUGGGGGGACCAUCCUCCAAGGCUAAAUACUCCUGACUGACCGAUAGUGAACCAGUACCGUGAGGGAAAGGCGAAAAGAACCCCGGCGAGGGGAGUGAAAAAGAACCUGAAACCGUGUACGUACAAGCAGUGGGAGCACGCUUAGGCGUGUGACUGCGUACCUUUUGUAUAAUGGGUCAGCGACUUAUAUUCUGUAGCAAGGUUAACCGAAUAGGGGAGCCGAAGGGAAACCGAGUCUUAACUGGGCGUUAAGUUGCAGGGUAUAGACCCGAAACCCGGUGAUCUAGCCAUGGGCAGGUUGAAGGUUGGGUAACACUAACUGGAGGACCGAACCGACUAAUGUUGAAAAAUUAGCGGAUGACUUGUGGCUGGGGGUGAAAGGCCAAUCAAACCGGGAGAUAGCUGGUUCUCCCCGAAAGCUAUUUAGGUAGCGCCUCGUGAAUUCAUCUCCGGGGGUAGAGCACUGUUUCGGCAAGGGGGUCAUCCCGACUUACCAACCCGAUGCAAACUGCGAAUACCGGAGAAUGUUAUCACGGGAGACACACGGCGGGUGCUAACGUCCGUCGUGAAGAGGGAAACAACCCAGACCGCCAGCUAAGGUCCCAAAGUCAUGGUUAAGUGGGAAACGAUGUGGGAAGGCCCAGACAGCCAGGAUGUUGGCUUAGAAGCAGCCAUCAUUUAAAGAAAGCGUAAUAGCUCACUGGUCGAGUCGGCCUGCGCGGAAGAUGUAACGGGGCUAAACCAUGCACCGAAGCUGCGGCAGCGACGCUUAUGCGUUGUUGGGUAGGGGAGCGUUCUGUAAGCCUGUGAAGGUGUGCUGUGAGGCAUGCUGGAGGUAUCAGAAGUGCGAAUGCUGACAUAAGUAACGAUAAAGCGGGUGAAAAGCCCGCUCGCCGGAAGACCAAGGGUUCCUGUCCAACGUUAAUCGGGGCAGGGUGAGUCGACCCCUAAGGCGAGGCCGAAAGGCGUAGUCGAUGGGAAACAGGUUAAUAUUCCUGUACUUGGUGUUACUGCGAAGGGGGGACGGAGAAGGCUAUGUUGGCCGGGCGACGGUUGUCCCGGUUUAAGCGUGUAGGCUGGUUUUCCAGGCAAAUCCGGAAAAUCAAGGCUGAGGCGUGAUGACGAGGCACUACGGUGCUGAAGCAACAAAUGCCCUGCUUCCAGGAAAAGCCUCUAAGCAUCAGGUAACAUCAAAUCGUACCCCAAACCGACACAGGUGGUCAGGUAGAGAAUACCAAGGCGCUUGAGAGAACUCGGGUGAAGGAACUAGGCAAAAUGGUGCCGUAACUUCGGGAGAAGGCACGCUGAUAUGUAGGUGAAGCGACUUGCUC